GCUCUGUUCAAGUGGUCGAGCCCAGAUUCAGGGAGAGCCCUGAGUUUUUUAUGUCAGAGUGAACAGGAGUGCUGGUUGAAUGAGACGGCCUGGCAGGGACACCAUAGGCCUGUUGGGCCCUAAGAAUACUUACAAGGCUGAAGAGAAAGACACAGAGGCAGCCUGCUCUUGGCAAGCCCGGGCAGGGUUCCCUUUGAUGUGAAGUCUUGCUUGAUAUUGCUUUGUGUGUCUGCAUUUGUCCUUGGCAGGCGGAAGGCAGUUCCUUUCCAACAAUGAGGUGCCCUUGUGUAUUGCUGCCAUCCACCAAAACAGUGAUGCAUGGAAGCAGCUCCCAGGGUGAUGAGACCUAGAAACACAUUUUGUCCAGGAAAGCAGUUUCAAGUGAAUGAGUUACGCUGAAUGCCCAGAAAGAACAAUGCAACUUCUGGAAAUCCCGUGAUACCAGCCAAAGUUGUCAAUGAAUCAAGAAUCAACUUCGAGGAAUGUUUUGGAAUAACACAGAGGGGAAUCCUGCAUUUAUUGAGCAGGGCAUUGGAA
RNAcentral lists this long non-coding RNA (537 nucleotides) under Rhinopithecus bieti (black snub-nosed monkey). Its description in RNAcentral is "lncRNA (ENSRBIG00000046712.1)". Lineage: Eukaryota; Metazoa; Chordata; Mammalia; Primates; Cercopithecidae. The record is from RNAcentral.